This 403-nucleotide ribosomal RNA is filed under the name bacterium. Its description in RNAcentral is "partial 16S ribosomal RNA". It matches the Rfam family "Bacterial small subunit ribosomal RNA", at positions 355 to 776 of the family's 1533-position model. The record is from RNAcentral.
UGGGGAAUCUUGCACAAUGGGGGAAACCCUGAUGCAGCGACGCCGCGUGAGCGAUGAAGGUUUUCGAAUCGUAAAGCUCUGUCCUAUGGGAAGAUAAUGACGGUACCAUAGGAGGAAGCCCCGGCUAACUACGUGCCAGCAGCCGCGGUAAUACGUAGGGGGCGAGCGUUGUCCGGAAUUACUGGGCGUAAAGGGUUCGCAGGCGGCAUGACAAGUCCGAUGUAAAAGGCGAAAGCUCAACUUUCGUAAGCAUCGGAAACUGUCAAGCUUGAGUGAAGGAGAUGCAAGUGGAAUUCCUAGUGUAGCGGUGGAAUGCGUAGAUAUUAGGAGGAAUACCGGUGGCGAAGGCGACUUGCUGGACUUCAACUGACGCUGAUGAACGAAAGCGUGGGUAGCAAACAGG